CAAGUCGAACGAUGAAGCCCUUCGGGGUGGAUUAGUGGCGAACGGGUGAGUAACACGUGGGCAAUCUGCCCUUCACUCUGGGACAAGCCCUGGAAACGGGGUCUAAUACCGGAUAACACCGGCUUCCGCAUGGGGGCUGGUUGAAAGCUCCGGCGGUGAAGGAUGAGCCCGCGGCCUAUCAGCUUGUUGGUGGGGUAAUGGCCUACCAAGGCGACGACGGGUAGCCGGCCUGAGAGGGCGACCGGCCACACUGGGACUGAGACACGGCCCAGACUCCUACGGGAGGCAGCAGUGGGGAAUAUUGCACAAUGGGCGAAAGCCUGAUGCAGCGACGCCGCGUGAGGGAUGACGGCCUUCGGGUUGUAAACCUCUUUCAGCAGGGAAGAAGCGAAAGUGACGGUACCUGCAGAAGAAGCGCCGGCUAACUACGUGCCAGCAGCCGCGGUAAUACGUAGGGCGCAAGCGUUGUCCGGAAUUAUUGGGCGUAAAGAGCUCGUAGGCGGCUUGUCACGUCGGGUGUGAAAGCCCGGGGCUUAACCCCGGGUCUGCAUCCGAUACGGGCAGGCUAGAGUGUGGUAGGGGAGAUCGGAAUUCCUGGUGUAGCGGUGAAAUGCGCAGAUAUCAGGAGGAACACCGGUGGCGAAGGCGGAUCUCUGGGCCAUUACUGACGCUGAGGAGCGAAAGCGUGGGGAGCGAACAGGAUUAGAUACCCUGGUAGUCCACGCCGUAAACGUUGGGAACUAGGUGUUGGCGACAUUCCACGUCGUCGGUGCCGCAGCUAACGCAUUAAGUUCCCCCGCCUGGGG
RNAcentral lists this ribosomal RNA (806 nucleotides) under Streptomyces sp. RNAcentral describes it as "bacterial SSU rRNA". It matches the Rfam family "Bacterial small subunit ribosomal RNA", at positions 58 to 878 of the family's 1533-position model. The record is from RNAcentral. Lineage: Bacteria; Bacillati; Actinomycetota; Actinomycetes; Kitasatosporales; Streptomycetaceae.